CUUAGGCAGGCAAUUCCAAUAAUAGCCAAUUAGCAAGGAUUUACAUAAAACUAAAAGAUGGAAGUUGUGUUAGCUACUAUUGUCUCAACUAAAUAGUGGGUGGUUGGCUCAGACCUUUCAGAGCUUCAAGGUUGACCAGCCUUCCGGGUUCCUUGUCCACACCUCUCUGCUAGUGAAGGCAAUGGGCGGCUUCCAACAUGUAUAAAAAAAAAUUUGAAAUAAAAAGUUAUAGCAUUCA
Long non-coding RNA from Pipistrellus kuhlii (Kuhl's pipistrelle), 238 nucleotides. RefSeq lists it as uncharacterized. The record is from RefSeq and is a predicted model, not a curated record. The transcript has 5 exons. NCBI's taxonomy places the organism in Eukaryota, Metazoa, Chordata, Mammalia, Chiroptera, Vespertilionidae.